CUGAAACCCGGACCUCCUUAUUUUAAGUUGACGGUCCAAGAGUUUAUAUGAGCUGGGUAAGGUCUUAAGACUAGACGUUUGAGGGGUACCACUACAGUUCCUAGGCCAGAGGAGCCUAGAGGAACUUGGGAGUGAAUGGGGAAGGCUGACAUUUUUAAUUUGGCUUUAAAUUGGAAAGAAUUGUGUUUAUAAAGUCUGAACAACUGCUUGAUAGAGAAAUGAGAGACUGACCGUGUUCAGCUCCGAAGAAAAGGGACACUUGCUCCUCCCGGCCUUUACCAAAAGGCGCCCUUAGGUGACUAAGGACCUCAGUGGGAGUGUCAGAGGAUCAAUCCUCCAGACGUGCAGCGGUCCCAAAGGGAACUCCACUCUCAUUCAUGGUAAUUAGUUACAGGCUCGUCCGGGGGAGUGCACAUAAGGGCUGGUCACUCCCGCACUCCCAGCUCCCACGGCUGUAUUAGGCGGCCGGACAGAAAAACCGAGGCACGUAAGAGAAUGUUUACGACCUUUCUACAGGGACUAACACUCACAAGCAGCACACUUCUGACCCACUACACUGUCCUUAGAAGUUGUUCAGACUUUAUAACAAAACAAUAUUAAAAGAGAAGUGGGAAAUCGAGCUUCUAAAACAGCUAGAUCAGUUCCCAAAUGGGCAGCCUUUCUUCCAGACUGCAGUUGGCUUCAUGCUGUGAUUGCAGUUGCUUAACAAAGGGGGAUCCCAAACUAGAUUGCUAAGGCCAAAAGAAAGAAUAAGAAAGAGAAAAAAAAACUGGGAAAACAAGUUUUUUCACCACGGUCUGCUAUGAGAACACCAAAGUCAAAUCUAAGGAAAAUGUUUGUCUGUAUGUCUGUCUGUCUGUGUGUGUCUAUAUAUGUUACAAAAGUUUUUAUAUUUUACCCCCGGAUGGUACAAUUUCUAAAGAGCUCCAUUCAAUUGACUUAAACCUGACUUCCCUUGGUCACAGCAACACCCACGUCUGUGCGCACACACCCCCGCCCCCACAUUAGCUGCCGCAAACACCUUUUCGGUAUUGUCUUUUCCCUUGUGCGUGGCUUGCUCUUGAUUCGCCAGUGAGUCUGCGUUGUACUUCGAACAAAUAUCCUCACGAAGCAAGAACACGGCAAGUGGGUGUCGCUAGAGCGCAGGAGACAGUUUCUGUGACCCCGGGUGACGGAGGAGGCUGAGAGUUGCAGAGGAAGGCUCCGGCUGUGCAGACAUGGGAAGCCCACGACGACCCUCAGCAGUCUGGCCCAGGCCACCUUGAGCAACCCCACCUCCAGAGCCCCCGCCACGACCUACCCCAUGGGCGAAUUCUCUACUGUUGCUGCUGGGAGCAUAGGAUGCUGAGCUGGAAUACCAGGGAAAUUACUGAGGCAAUUAAAAUUGGAAAUUGGGGUUUAUUGAGAGAAUUCUCUUCCAGAUUAAACGGCACUGACUUUGUUAACAUUGGCGGCAACAUUCGCCAAGACCUCCCCCCUUCUAAAAUUCCUUUCAUCCAGAGUCUCGAUAGUGGAAGGAAAGAGCAGUCCAACAGACCAUCUAAGAAAAUCUGCUGUGGGUCAGAUAAAAGUGCGAAGCUCCCUGACGCCGAGUGGAGAGACGAGGGAAGAGAGAGACAGGGCUGUGGGGGAGCUGCGCACACCCAGCUGCAUGGUCCUGAGCAGGAAUGCACAAUUGCUGCCUGUUCAGAAACGCAAUUCACUGUGACAAAGCUGUCAGGCAACCAUUCUGAGGCCUUUAGAACGAUUGGACUUCCAUAAAGCUCUGCCACAUGUACACUCCCCACAAUCGAUCCCACUUAUCCAGAGCGGCUGUCCUGAUGGCCAUUUGACCGGCCUGAACUCCUAGAGAAGGCGCCUGGCAGUAACACUCUAGAUUUAGGUUUGCACUUUGUCAGUGUUGACUGUGUUGAUUUAUUAAACAAAAUUUUUAAAAGACUAAAACUGUGGAUUUUUCUAAAGUGGAGAUUUGGCAGUUAGCUAUUGAAUUCACGUGAACAACCAAACUGGAUAAUUCUCCUAAAUUUUAUCCCCUCCAGGGCACAAAAUUUGAGUCAAAUAAUCAAGGAGUCUAUAUCGGGCAUCUGCUGGGGGUCAAGGGUGAAUUUGAUUAUUUACACUGACUUCAACAUAUGAGAAUAACCGCGAAGCUGGGGUGCAGGCGAGAGGAGUUGUUGCUAUCAGGAUUACGAUGACAUUGUAGCGGAUGCUGUUGGUUCUUAUCUGUUACCCCCUCUUCUCCCUCACAGAAGUCCCUCCCCAGCUUUAGGGAUGAUCUUUUUUAGCGCUCCAGUAUGGUAAUUCCAACUCCCUUGCCAGGAAUGGGUUUGGGAUCUCAGCCCACCAGUGCGUGGCCUUGAUCUGGGUCUGAUAUCGAUUGCGAGCUGGCACACGAUCCCAUCGUCCUGAUGGGAAAGACUUUUGUUCCAUGGUGGGGGGUGGGGUGGGAGGUGCCUCUCUCCAGCUGAAUGUGACCAAGUCAGCCUGUGGUCCCAGUUGCUGAGGAGGGAAGCCCGCCUGAGGACAAGACCAGCAGGUGAAGCAGAACUAGGAAUUCAAGGGAAACUGAGCCAGGGCCCUGCCUGGACCAUACCCGGACCAUACCUGGACC
Molecule: long non-coding RNA, 2611 nt
Filed under: Equus caballus (horse)
Lineage: Eukaryota; Metazoa; Chordata; Mammalia; Perissodactyla; Equidae
Description: lncRNA (ENSECAG00000048985.1)
Source: RNAcentral